UUGACCUCGAAUCAGGUAGGAAUACCCGCUGAACUUAAGCAUAUCAAUAAGCGGAGGNNNNNNNNNNNNNNNNNNNNNNNNNNGUAACGGCGAGUGAAGCGGUAACAGCUCAAAUUUGAAAUCUGGCUCCUUCGGAGUCCGAGUUGUAAUUUGUAGAAGAUGCUUUGGGUUGUGGGCUCGGCCUAAGUUCCUUGGAACAGGACGUCAUAGAGGGUGAGAAUCCCGUAUGUGGCCAUGGCCCGCGCCUAUGUAAAGCUCUUUCGACGAGUCGAGUUGUUUGGGAAUGCAGCUCAAAAUGGGUGGUAAAUUUCAUCUAAAGCUAAAUAUGGGCCAGAGACCGAUAGCGCACAAGUAGAGUGAUCGAAAGAUGAAAAGCACUUUGGAAAGAGAGUUAAACAGUACGUGAAAUUGUUGAAAGGGAAGCGCUUGCAACCAGACUUGGGCGCUGCCGAUCACCCCGAGUUCUCUCGGGUGCACUCGACAGCGCACAGGCCAGCAUCGGUUCGGGUGGCUGGAUAAAGGCCGUAGGAAUGUAGCUCUCUUCGGGGAGUGUUAUAGCCCACGGUGCCAUGCAGCCCAGCCGGACCGAGGACCGCGCCUUCGGGCUAGGAUGCUGGCGUAAUGGUUGUAAGCGACCCGUCUUGAAACACGGACCAAGGAGUCUAACAUCUAUGCGAGUGUUUGGGCGUUAAACCCAUACGCGGAAUGAAAGUGAACGUAGGUGAGAACCCCUUUGGGGCGCAUCAUCGACCGAUCCUGAUGUCUUCGGAUGGAUUUGAGUAAGAGCAUAGC
This 792-nucleotide ribosomal RNA is filed under the name Pseudoidium sp. MUMH 4037. RNAcentral describes it as "partial 28S ribosomal RNA". It matches the Rfam family "Eukaryotic large subunit ribosomal RNA", at positions 1 to 806 of the family's 3401-position model. The record is from RNAcentral. Lineage: Eukaryota; Fungi; Ascomycota; Leotiomycetes; Helotiales; Erysiphaceae.